RNAcentral lists this long non-coding RNA (229 nucleotides) under Musa acuminata (dwarf banana). Its description in RNAcentral is "long non-coding RNA (MACU_LNC009231)". Lineage: Eukaryota; Viridiplantae; Streptophyta; Magnoliopsida; Zingiberales; Musaceae. The record is from RNAcentral.
GAGGAGAGGGUGUCGGCCGAUCAUUGCAGCUCCAACACAUAUAACCAGUGAUGGUAUCCUCAAUGGACAUGUGGAUCCCAACAAUGCACGUGGAAGGGCAAGAAAUAUGUACGUCUAGAAUAAGUGUAUUACAAGGAAAAGGAUUGUUAUUGGAGUAAUUAUGAAGGAAAAAAUACUAUGAAAAUUAGGAUUUGGAUCUCAUAUUUUAGUAAGAUGUGAUGAAUGUUUU